AUGCACGCUGGCGGCGUGCCUCAUCCAUGCCAGUCGAGCGAACAGACGAGGAGCUUGCUCCUCUGACGUUAGCGGCGGACGGGUGAGUAACACGUGGAUAACCUACCUAUAAGACUGGGAUAACUUCGGGAAACCGGAGCUAAUACCGGAUAAUAUAUUGAACCGCAUGGUUCAAUAGUGAAAGGCGGUUUUGCUGUCACUUAUAGAUGGAUCCGCGCCGCAUUAGCUAGUUGGUAAGGUAACGGCUUACCAAGGCAACGAUGCGUAGCCGACCUGAGAGGGUGAUCGGCCACACUGGAACUGAGACACGGUCCAGACUCCUACGGGAGGCAGCAGUAGGGAAUCUUCCGCAAUGGGCGAAAGCUUGACGGAGCAACGCCGCGUGAGUGAUGAAGGUCUUCGGAUCGUAAAACUCUGUUAUUAGGGAAGAACAAAUGUGUAAGUAACUAUGCACGUCUUGACGGUACCUAAUCAGAAAGCCACGGCUAACUACGUG
RNAcentral lists this ribosomal RNA (496 nucleotides) under uncultured bacterium. RNAcentral's name for it is "partial 16S ribosomal RNA". It matches the Rfam family "Bacterial small subunit ribosomal RNA", at positions 29 to 507 of the family's 1533-position model. The record is from RNAcentral.